UAGAGAGGGUGCGAGCGUUGUCCGGAAUCACUGGGCGUAAAGCGCGCGCAGGCGGUCUCUUAAGUCUGAUGUGAAAGCCCACGGCUCAACCGUGGAGGGUCAUUGGAAACUGGGGGACUUGAGUACUGGAGAGGAGAGUGGAAUUCCAUGUGUAGCGGUGAAAUGCGUAGAUAUAUGGAGGAACACCAGUGGCGAAGGCGGCUCUCUGGCCAGUAACUGACGCUGAGGCGCGAAAGCGUGGGGAGCAAACAGG
This 253-nucleotide ribosomal RNA is filed under the name uncultured bacterium. RNAcentral describes it as "partial 16S ribosomal RNA". It matches the Rfam family "Bacterial small subunit ribosomal RNA", at positions 524 to 776 of the family's 1533-position model. The record is from RNAcentral.